Long non-coding RNA from Empidonax traillii (willow flycatcher), 1295 nucleotides. RefSeq lists it as uncharacterized. The transcript is spliced from 4 exons. The record is from RefSeq and is a predicted model, not a curated record. NCBI's taxonomy places the organism in Eukaryota, Metazoa, Chordata, Aves, Passeriformes, Tyrannidae.
AAGGGUUCUUUAAAGAAGCUGGAUAAUGGGGCACUCCUUGCAUAAGGAACUGAGCGAUUCAACAGCCUCAUCAGUCCUGCUGCAAAUCUCUGCUCACACCAGAAGGGAAUUCAAAAUUGUUCAGUGGUGCUGUUGUGGAUUUCUGAGCCUCCGAGACAGGACCAGCAGCCACAGAGGUACCUGGCAUUCACGUCUGUGAACUCCUGGGACACAUGGGCUGCUUUCGAAGAGUCUGCAAAAGGUAAUUAAGAAGAGUAACCUAUUGUCAGUCAACUUCAGUUUGCUGUAUAAGGACCACUGCAGAUCUAUUGGAAAAUGCUUAGGACUCUUCAAACUGAUAUAAGUGCACCAUCAGCUGUCAGUGUGGCAGGUGGCAGUCAGCCUGGAAUACUCAGCUGCAGGGAUGGAGAGAAGAACUUUGUGAGAGCAAGUGAACAGGAAAGAAGUAGGGCCGCUAGCAAAGGACAUCAAAAAAAAAAGAAAAAAGAGGACAGCAGGACUUUGUGGACAAUGCAUUAGAAAUAGGCUGGCAGUGUGUAGAAUAAAGAAAAGUAGUUUGGAACCAGAAAUUAUUUGGUUACAGGAAUGUGCUUUUGACAACUAUCUUGAAUGUCUAAACUUCCUGUGCCUGUCUGUAGCUUUCAGAUCUGCUGUCCUCAGCAAAGGACAUUUGGGAGCAGAGUGCUCUUCAGUGAAGCUGGGAUGCUGCUCAGGAUCUUAAUUCUGGGUUUGAAACUUUCUGGUUAGGUGAGCUGGGCUGGUUGCUUUCCCUGAUUUUUAAGUUUUUACAUCUGUAGGGGAAGAACAUAAUCAUGCUUCAUGGAGAUGUUUACAGGAAUUUGUAAUAUGCAUAGAGUGCUUUGAACUUGAGGAGUUCUGUGGAUGUAAUGAUGGACCUUAAUCCACCUGUCCAUACAGAUAACCAUUUCUUUAAAAGAGAUAAAGUGACACCUGCCAUCUCAAUCUAAACAGGGAACGUUACCAUCCACCCCAUAGCCUGAUCCCUACCCCUGCCUGAAGUGGAACAGACUCCAUCUUCUGGGUGUGAUUCUCAUAAAGGAACACAACAGGUAGCAACCAGUGCAUGCACCUCAGGGUAAGUAGGUGUCACACAUAUGUCACUGAAAGCAUAUGUUAAUGCUCCUGCAUCAUGCCUGUGAUGCCCUGCUCUUCACCUGUGCUUUCAGCUUCCCUCAAGGGUAGUGGUUUGAAUCUCUGGUGUUGUUCAUUAGCAUAUGUGCAGUAACCUGCCACAAUCUUACAUCUUGACUACUUACAUGACACUAGAGCCAGUG